CCACCACAACUUCAACAACAACCGCGAUACUAGAGGCUAUAGUGGCGCUUCUUCUCUCUAAAUACGCAACCACCGUCACCUUCAAAAACUCAACUCGAACCUGAAAAAAUUACCCAGAAACAGUGAUAGUAGAUCUGCAAGUUUUGAAGAAGGAGAAGCAAUUAAUGGGAGGAGGGUAGCAACUGAGAAUAGUGAGGAUGUAUUUUGAUGAAUUUGAUUUGGGAUAUUGGUAAUAGUGAGUGUAUGAAUAAUGGGUUGAUUUGAGAAUGAAAUCAUGUUGUUAUGUGAUUGUUGUUGUGUUGUUGUGGAUGCUGAUGCCAUGGAAGGGGGAAGGGGGAGAAGAAGCUGAGAUAAAUGCAGCAGAACAAGAAGAGGAAAUUAAUUAAAAAAAAAAAAGAAGAGGAGGAAAUUAAUAAAAAAAACAAAUAAUUUUUUUAAAAAACAAAUUUUUUUGCAGGGAUGGAUAUCAAUUUUUUUUUUACCAGGGUCCAAUAUCCAAAUGAGUCAUAUUUGCAGGGACCAAAAUCAUAUUUUAGUCAAAAAUAAAUUUAGAGUACAAAUACAAAAACACAAUCUAUUUCUCUCCUUAGUGAGAAGUGAGCGAGCUUUCAUCGUUGUGUUACUAAAAAUUGAGAGUUUUUCCCAUUAUUUAUCAAACUGGAGAGGUUGUCAUUAGUGAACGGAGGGGAAAGGUCAAACAAGUUAUGUUACACACGGUUCUUUUUUGGAUUCAAAUUCACAAUUUACCUGUGGGCUACAUGGCAGAGACAGUGGGACGAAAUGUAGGAAACUAUGUGGGAGACUUUUUGGAAUACGAUGAGAAGGACAGUUCUGACUUCAGAAGAUAUAUGCACAUCAAGAAGAAAGGGGUGGUGCCUGUCAUGGUAAACAUCAAGUAUGAACGCCUUGGUAUUUUUUGCUACUACUGCAGAUUGUUAGAGCAUGAUGAAGAUUCGUGUGAGAAAUUGACGAGGAAUCUAAAGACAAUAGUGUGAAAAAUUGGGGACCAAACAUCAAAGUUUAACGGAUGCCAAUCAAGGAGCGGUUUUGUUGGGAAACCCAAAUAGGAAAGAUAUGAUGGCGGGAUUACUUAAGGAACAAGCAAAACUGAAAACAAUAAAGAAGGAAAGAAUAUUCAAUUAUGCUCCAAUAAUUCAUGAGAAAUAGCAAGCGGCAAAAAAUACUUUAAUUUUAUAAUUAGUUAGGAGAUUAAUAAAUUAUUUUUUUGAAGGAAGGAGAUUAUCAUUUUAUGUUGGUAUUUUUUUUGUACCUAGUUAAUCAAAAAGUUUUUCUAAUUACACCCUGUUUAAUUCUGGUUGCACUCUAGAAUGACAAAAUUACACUUUCAUAAAAUUUAAUUUUCAAAAAGACUCUUCCUUUUUUCUUGGUUACACCCUAAAAUCCCUCUUCAGUUUAAGUAGAUCAUGUAAACUUAGUUUCAGUAGGUCAUGUAAACUGAGUUUAAGUGUACAUACUUAAACUUAGUUUAAGUAGGUCAUGUAAACCGAAUUUAAGUGUACAUUUAAAAGUUCAACAUUGUUCGAUGAUUCUACGUAAUCUCAGUUUAAGUAUGUACAUGUAAACUUAGUUUAAGUAGGUCAUGUAAACUAAGUUUAAGUGUACAUACUUAAACUCAGUUUAAGUAGAUCACGUAAACUUAGUUUAAGUAGCUCAUGUAAACUGAGUUUAAGUAUACAUACUUAAACUCAGUUUAAGUAGGUCAUGUAAACUCGGUUUAAGUAGGUCAUGUAAACUGAGUUUAAGUGUACAUCUAAAAGUUCAACAUUGUUAAAUGAUUAUACGUAAUAUCAGUUUAAGUAUGUACAUGUAAACUUAGUUUAAGUAGGUCAUGUAAACCGAGUUUAAGUGUACAUACUUAAACUCAGUUUAAAUAGGUUAUGUAAACUAAGUUUAAGUAGAUUAUGUAAACUAAGUUUACAUGAACCUACUUAAACUGAAUUUAAGUUAACCUCAACAAUGUAAAACUGAAACUGUCGUACAGUGCAGUUGAACAAGAAGAAGAAAAUUGAAACCAGCGUUAUUGAAAAAGAAGAAAAAAUUCACUUAUUUAUAUGCAAUCGGGUAUGAAUGAAAGAUGUUUUGAUUCACUCUUUAAUCUUCCAUAGAGAUUAAUUGAACAUCAGGAUUGUUUGAUCGUUGGUGGGUGAAAGAGAAUGAAAUUUUAGAGUGACAAUGGAUGAAAUCAAGAUUUUAAGAAAAUUUAUAUAAAAGAACAAUUUUGGUAUUAUCAAAUUGUUUUUAAAAAAAUAGGGUGUAACCAAAAAUAUAUAAGGUGUGAAUAGAAAAACUCUUAAUCAAAUUAGUUUUACUUCUAAAUGAAAAAUAAGUAUUUUUUUUUUGUCUGGAAAUCAAAUUGGUUUUAGUUGAAUAGUUUGUUCUUUCUCUUUCGUGAUUAGUUUUUGAUUCGUUUAUAUAUUUUGAUUUGAUAACAUUGUUAUCUAAUAUAAUCGUUUUGUAGAAAGCCACAAUAAUAGGAAUUUAAAAAGCCCAAUCAAUGAUAAAUAUCGUAACAAACUUUAAUAUAUCCAAAAAAACUAAUCAUAUAAUUUUUUUUAAGGAACUAAUCAUAUAAUUUGUUACGCUUUAUAAACCCCAAUUCUCUUAGAUAUAAGGAUAAUAUUAACCAGUGCCCCGGACACUAAUUAAGAAGUAAAUAUAGUAUGAAUUAGAAAUUGUGUUGUAUUGUCAAUCCCUAAAAGUUAAUAAAGUGUCUUUUUUAAUUUAAAAUUUUUCCUUUAUAGUUUUCAUAACUAGUGCCCCGCACCGGUUAACAUGACCCUAGUUAUAAAUACCCGUCUAUCUCUGACAAUAAAUAAAUAAAAAAUACCCAUCUCAAACAACAAAGCACUCACACAUAUUUUUGCUCGGCUUUAAUACUAUCUAUCGAUCUCAAACCUACGACAAAGCUAAACCUAAUUUGUUUCUUUUCUCUCCAAACCUAAACCUAAUAUAACUCUCUCCAAAGUUAAACCUAAUUUGUUUCUUUUCUCAUAUUAUUAUAUUACUCUUCAAAGGGCUCAAGAAAAUAAGUGUUGAACCGCUGGAAGCUUCAAUGUCAGGUGAAGGUUCAUCUCGCAGUCGCGGUAAACGCCCUCUUCCCGAAGACAAUGACGAUUCCACCAAAAAUCCACCAGCUAAGAGGGUUAGGUUUCCCAAGGGGAAGAAAGGGAAACCAGUUGAUGUAAUAGUGGAGAAAGUAUUUGCUGAGGAGGAUGUGAAUGAUUUGUCGAAUCCGGCUGUUGCUGCCAAAGAGCAGGUAAAACGGAGGAAUCAAAUUACUGCUGAGCUUUUUAGUGACGAAAAUGGAGGUAUUUCGAAGGUUGCUGAAGUUAUAUACAAGGAAAAUGAGAAUUUUGUUGAAGACGGAAUUCAGAUUGAGCCUUUCAACCUAGACAAAGAAAGGGAAGAAGGUUAUUUUGAUGCAUCCGAAAACUUUGUUGAAUAUGUCAGAGAUAAUGAGAUUAAGGAUGCAUGGCUUGAUAAUGUUGAGGUUGAUCCUAGAUAUGCUAGAUUAAGCUCCGCGGCAACAAAUGAUGAAGAGGAGGUCCAAGAGCUUUCUUCUAAAGAUGUGGCAAUCAUGAAGAGGCGCAUUGCCAAUGUUCUUGAACCAGAGGAAACAGUCUUGCAAGGUUUGAGAAGAUUAAAAGCUAUGAAACACGGAUGCGGACACCGGACACGAUACGCACACUGACACGCCGACACAUCUAAUAAUUUGAAAAAAUCACAUAAUUCAGUGUAAUUACAAGUGUCGGUGUCGGACACGGCACGGGACACACCUAAUCCGAGAAGUGUCUGUGCUUCAUAGGUUAAAAGGCAACGGUGAUAGAAAAACAAAAAUGUCUGGUGAGACUAAGAUUGUAUUUGACCAGCUAACUGAGUUUUUAAAAGUCACCUAAUAGGAUACAACAAUAUAUCCAAGCACUCCUAAAAAAGAGUAUUUAAGGUAAAGAGUAUUUAAGGUCUAAGUCAUAAAAGAGCUGUUAGAACUUUUUUUAAACUGAAAAAUACGCUUCAUUUGAUGCUUGGAGAGGAAGUGUGAAAAUUGUUCACUGAGAACGUUUUCCAGAACAUUCUCUCUGUCCAAAUCAUUCUCAAGAAUGAUUUCUUUGUUCCAACCUCAUUUGUGCAAAGAAUUUUAUUAUCCACAAUUUGCACAAUGCUCAAGGAUAUAGAAUUACUUUUUACCGAUUAUGAAGUGGUAGGAAAUGCUUGAGAUUUUACAAGUCAUGAUAGGGUAAAACUGAAUGGUGGGGUGAUAGAGAAAUACCAAGCGGAAAAAAAUACGUGAAUUUUAUAAUUAGUUUGGAGAUUAAUAUAUUUUUUUUCUUGAAGGAAGGAGAUUAUUAUAUUAUGUAUUUGUCCUUACCAACUAAGCUUAGUUUACGAGGACUUUUUAUACCUAGUUAAUCAAAUUGGUUUUACUUCUAAAAAUAAUUGGUUUUUUGGUCAAGAAAUCAAAUUGGUUUUACAUGAAUAGUUUGUUCUUUCUCUUUCCUGAUUAGUUUUUGAUUCGUUAUAUAUUUUGAUUUGAUAAUCAUUGUUAUCUAAUUAAUCAUUUUAAUUUUAGAAAGCCACAAUAAUAGGAAUUUUAAAAGCCCAAUCAAUAAUAAAUAUCGUACAAACUUUUUUUUUUUUUAGGGAAAAUAUCUUAACAAACUUAUAUAUAUAUAUAAUUGCAUGGUUCUCUUAGUUAUAAAUAUUUACCUGUAUUUUUUUUUUUUGAAACAGCCAAUAUAUUAAGCAAGGUUAGCACAAUGUUUACUUAACCCGCAAAGGAGGAAACAGCCAUAUGAAACAGCCAAUAUUACCUGUAUUUGUUUGUUACGGUUAAAAAAACCCAGUUCUCUUAGUUAUAAAUACCCACCUAUACAAACAACAUAGCACUCAGACUUAUAUUUGCUCGUUUUUUUAACACUAUCGACCUCAAACCUACGACAUCAAAGACAAAGUGAUUUUCCACCAACAAACUAAGAUGACCGGAACAACUAGGCCUAGCCACCAUCAAAUUUUCGACAUCGAAUGGGAGAUAAUUUCACAAUCAGAUAGUGAUGAUGAUGGCCGUCUCAAGCGAACCGGUACAAUACUAAGCUAGAUUCUUGAAGAGAUGUCCAAUAUAUAUAUAUCCAACGUUACCUCUUCACUUGAUUCGUACAAAAAAAAUCGAAAAAAAUCAGUUGCUAACAACAACCGACUUAGCGUACGAGUUUCUAAAUCAGUCGCUAACUCUAGCCUAUAAAAUCGUAACAGUGUUACUAAAGCAUCGGUUGAUAAUGUAAGCGAUCGAUUUAACAUUCUUGUCUCUAAAUAAAUUGGUCACUACAUCAUAGUUCUUUUAGAUAUGUUACUAAAUAUGAUAUAAUCAAUGUAUUUUUAUAACUGGCUUGAUUAAUUGAAAUGAUAUGCAUGGAAGUGUUUUGACUGCAAUUUCACACAUAAUAACAGCUGUGAUAGGAUCAGGGGUGUUGUCUUUAGCUUGGGCCAUAGCUCAGCUAGGUUGGGUUGCUGGUCCUGCUGUCAUGAUUUUAUUCUCUUUGGUUACAGCCUAUACUUAUUGUUAUCGCACCGGUGACCCUGAUUCCGGCAAGAGAAAAUAUACUUACAUGGACGCUGUUCGCUCCAUUCUUGGUAAUUAAAACUCAUUCUCUUUGAUUUUAUUUUAUUUUAUCUUACUUUUGAAUGAAAUGCAUUGAAUUCUUAUUCUAAAAGAACAUGUAAAAAUAUGCCCUUAUAUCAAUACAUGCGCGCGGGAUAACGUGGACUGAAAUGUAUUUUGCAGGUGGAGCAAAGGUUACGUUUUGUGGAAUAUUUCAGUACCUCAAUCUAUUUGGAAUUGUGAUAGGAUACACAAUUGCGGCUUCUAUUAGCAUGACGUGAGUUCACAUUUUUUUAUACUUUAUACAAGUAAUUUUUAACAACAUAAACAUGUUUAGGUCUUUUUAGGGAAGUACACAUUCUAAUAAUAGUGUUACAUCUUGUGCGUUUAUUUAUAUCAUUAUAUAUUUUGGUUUGUUCACAAGAAAAACAAUAAUAUUACAUACAAUCUCAAAUUAAUAUGUGGUAUGAUAGGAAAUUGGUUUAACUUCAGUUUCAUUGGUUGUUUGGUUAACAGGGCUAUCAAAAAAUCAAAUUGUUUCCAUCAACAUGGGGACAAAAGCCCAUGUCACAUGUCAAGCAACCUAUACAUGAUCAUGUUUGGUGUGAUACAAAUUUUCCUUUCACAAAUUCCAGAUUUUGAUCAAAUAUGGUGGCUCUCAUCAGUUGCUGCAUUCAUGUCUUUCACAUAUUCCUUAAUUGGUCUAGCUCUUGGAAUUGCCAAAGUUGCAGGUUAUAUUUUUGGACCCUUUAGUUAUAAUUUUUGUCUUUGGAUUUUUCAUCUACUAAUAGAGACUGAUAAUAAUAUGGUUGAUUUAUGAAAAGAAAAUGGUACUAUCUUGGGUAGCCCUAGCAGGAAUUGGCAUUGGAGCAGUUUCAGAUACUCAAAAGAUAUGGAGGAUUUCUCAAGCUCUUGGUAACAUAGCCUUUGCAUAUUCAUAUGCCGUGGUUCUCCUUGAAAUUCAGGUAUAACUUUCGACAAUUGAAUUGCUAUUAGGUGUUAGAUGUUGGAUGAAGAUCAAAUGAUUCAUAUUUCGAGUUUAUAUUUACUAAACAAACUUGAACUAAGUUCUGAGGUUACAAUAUGAAUCAUCUAAUCUCCAUUCAAUAGUCAAGACGGUUCAACUAGUUAAACUUUGAACCAAUAUUUAUUUAGAACAUUUGUGUGGGGACUUAUAUCAAUUUAAUAUUCUUAAUAUUUUAGGACACGUUGAAAUCCCCACCAUCUGAGGUAAAAUCAAUGAAGAAAAGAUAAGUAUUGCAGUGACCAAAAUAUUUUACAUGCUUUGUGGCUGCAUGGGAUAUGCAGCAUUUGGAGAUGCUGCACCUGGAAAUCUUCUAACUGGUUUUGGAUUCUACAAUCCAUAUUGGCUAAUAGACAUAGCAAAUGCAGCUAUUAAGAAUACCAAGUAUUUUCUCAACCAAUCUUUGUCUUUGUAGAGAAAAGUGCAACACAAAGAUGGCCCAACAUUGACAAAGAAUACAAAAUUCAACUUCCUUGCCUUCCACCUUACAAGUUGAACUUAUUCAGAUUGCUUUGGAGGACAGUGUUUGUUACCUUAACUAUCGAUGUUGCUUCCUUUCUUCAAUGACAUCGUUGGAGUGAUAGGUGCAUUGGGAUUUUGGCCUCUUGACAAUUUAUUUUCCUGUGGAGAUGUAUAUCUCACAGAAGAAAAUCCCAAAAUGGAGCAAUAAAUGGAUUUGCCUACAAAUAUUCAGCUUUGCUUGCCUUGUAGUAUGACUUGCUGCUGUUGUUGGAUCAAUUGCUGGAGUCUUGGUUGAUCUGAAGAAAUACAAACCAUUCCAAUCAAAUUAUUAAGCUUCUUUUAUUGGCAAUGUAAUGUACGAAACUCAUGUAUUGGCAACUACAUGAAUAUUAUUACAAUGGUUUUGGUUUGUAUGUACAAUUAUGUUGUAAAUUAACAAGUUGAAUUAUUAUGAUCCAUUAUCUUUCUCUCUUUUUAUGGAUAUACCAAUUUACUAUACUUACAUGCAGUACUCCUCUUUAUGCAUUGUGACCAUUGAAAUCUAGAGUACUUCAAUCUCAUACACAUUCUCAAAGAAAGUAAGGCGGAUAACUCAAUUAUAUAACUAGUGAAGUAAAAAAAUAAUUAAAUAAUUUUUAUCUAAUUAAAACUGACAUGUUUUAAUUUUAAUAUCUCCUUGAAUUAGAUAAAAGUAGUGUAUUUUUUAUUUUAAUUUUAACCUUUUCAGGGAGGAAAGCACGCAUUUUCUUUAUUGAGGAAACCACACAUUUGUAUUUUUUUUUUAAGUCUAAAACAAAAUUUAAAAAAGGUCAAAUGCAUCCAAAGGUCCUUUAAGUUUUUCAUUUUUCCGAAAGUCGUCAUUUAAGUUUCAAAAGUCUCAAACAAGUCCUUUAAGUUUCAAAAGUCCCAAACAAGUCCUUUUAGUUUUUGAAUCGUUUCAAACAAGUCCUUUUAGAUGAUAGCAACAAAGAGCAUUAUUCACCAUUUGUCAUGCCUAAAAAGAUGACUAAUUUUAAGUGGGUGUUAGAAGGCAGAUUUGGUACCAAAAAUGAGUUCAAGGAAGCAAUUACCAACUAUGCUAUCUACAAUAGGACUUGUUUGAAACGAUUCAAAAACUAAAAGGACUUGUUUGAGACUUUUGAAACUUAAAGGACGACUUUGGGAAAAAUGAAAAACUUAAAGGACCUUUAGAUGCAUUUGACCUUAAAAAAACUAUCUAAGUUUUUUAUCAAGGUAUAUAUUUAACCACUUUAUAGUUACAACUUGCUAAAAUACUCCUUUGAAAAAACGAGUGGGUCUACGUUAGUAAAUCCCUUCAAAUAAUUAACAAAAAUCAUCUAUAACAAUAUAAAAAUGGAAUACCUUUCAAAAAUAUAUAUAAAGUGAAUAAGGGAUUUUUGGCUGAAUUUUUCAUUUUUCUAAUUACACCUUUAAACAAAUUUGCAUAUAAUUAGAAUGUUAUAUUGAUGCUGUUAUAAAAAAAUAUAAGAAUUUAUAUUAUAUUUUCUUUAUUUUGGAAAUAAUAAAUUCAUAGCUUGUUACAAUUAGAAAGUUACAAACAUGUAUAACUUUAAUUUUAAUCAAAUUAAAAUAUUAUAAAAAAAUUGCUCAUAAUUUACACUCAUUACUCACGGACAUAUAAAACUUGAGAUGGGGUGUCCGUUUGAACGCUAAUUAUUGUGAAAAAAAUAUCAUUUAAACUAUCAACAAUCUUUUUUUAAGGAUCAUUUAAACUAUUAACAAUCCUUUUUAAAUAGCGAUGCUAAAAAAAAGGAUACAUGAUGUAUCGUAUCGUUUUCUACGGUUUUCCUUUUUCUACAAUGUUCUUAUUCUCUGUUUUUAUUAAGUUUUUCUUUAAGAAAUCAAAAUAAAAUAUAUUAAUCAAAUAAGUCCUUCCAAAAUGAGAUAUAUUAAUUUUUUAUUUAAAGUAAUUCAUUGUAUAGUUUACAUAUUACCAAUAGAAAUUUAUACAAGAAAAGAAUGCAGAUGGACAAGAAGUUGUGUCACUCCUUUCAAAAAAAAAAAAAAAAACAAGAAGAAGUUGUGUCACUAACCCCUUUUAAAUGAUCAAAUAAGUCAUUUUAAACUGAACAUACAUGUUACUUUCUGAAUGCACAGAACUAUAUGUUGGGCAAUGUUUGCAAAAUACCCACUUUUUCAUGUUACAUGCGGAAUACAACCGCGAGGGUAUUCCGCGGGAGUUUCUUUAACUCACCUCAUAUUUGCCACAACAUAUUAUACAUUUUAUAUCAAUAUAUUAUGUAUUUAUAAACAAACACACAUGAGUUACAUAGCAGAUUCAGGGAGAAGCAUGAUGCGUUUCAGACGGUAUAUAUAUAUAUAUGUUCGAUAAUAAAAGAGUCAGAUUGUAUAUGGACAAAUACAAUCGUUGGGGUGUACGUAUUGCAUGGUUUAUCAUUGACUAUAUAUUACUACCGACAUGUUAUGUUUAAUGUUCAGAAGUCAAUAUUUCCAAUAAAGAAUUUAUUAAGUUGACAAAUUCAUGGAAGCUGGAAGGAAAGAAGAAGAAGAAAAGAAGGCAAACUUGAAUUUACUCAGCAAUUUGGAAUGAUACAGCGAACAUAUCACUGCUCAAGUCAGUGCAAGGUCCACUCCCAGUUAAGAUGCUAUUCUACACGAAUGUAUUUGCAUGAGAUAAAUGUUUGAGGUGAUGUAAUGUUAGAGGGUGAAUGUUUAUGUAAAUUUUACUUAAUUGAUAAGGAUAUUGUAUUAUAUAUGUAGGUUAUAGUUUAAAUCUUCGAAACCCAACUUAUUUAUCAUAAAAGAUGAAUUAUUUCUAGUCACUAAGUUACCUUAACCAAAAAAAUUGUUAGAAGGUAAAUAAAAAGACUGUAAAUUUUAUUUUUUUAGGAUAAAUUUAAAGAAUUUUAAGUAUCACAGAAAUAUUGAGAUUUUUUUUUAAAAAAAAAAUCUUACCAUAUACAAUAUUAAUAUCAAGCAGUUGUUAUAAUCCUUUUUUUUAAAAAGAGUUCUUAUUAUAAUCCUUUUUCUUAAAAAGUUCUUAUAAUCCUUUUAAAAUAUGCAAAUUGAUUUCUAUAUAUUGUAAGAUUUACAUGAACAUUAUUCUUUAUUUAUUUUUCAAAUUUUGCAAUUGGUUUCUAUAUUUUUCAAUUUUUGCAUAAUAGUCACUAUAAAUUUUCAUAAAACUGCUAAUUGGGCCCUAUUUUUUAUAUUGGUCCUUCAAUUAUUUUAAAUUUUAAAUUUUACCUAAAUCUUUUAAAAUUCUCAAUUUAAAUUAUUUUUCUUUAUAUAUUUAUAUAUAAUUUAAUCUCAAAACAUUUAAAUGUUAUAAAAUAAAAUACAAAACAAAAUAUAAGAAUGGAUUUUUGUCUUUUUAAUCACGGUUGAAAUUCCGAGACAUUUUGUCUUCUUAAAAAAGAUUGAAAUUUUGUCUUCUUAAAAACACGAUUUAAAAUGAAAAAAUUAAGUUGAAGCAUUUGAAUUGUCUAGAAUUUUAAAUUCCGAGACAUUUUCAAAUUCAAUUGCCCAUCUAAACACAAUCCUGGUGCAUUCGAAAUUAUCUUAAAAAAUGUCUUAACUUUUUUAAUGAACCAAUUUCUUUAUUUUUGGGGAGAAUGAACCAAUUUAAUCUUAUCUUAAAAGAUAAUUUAAGAUUUUUGAUGAAUAAACAAUACUUUAAGCAAUUAAUAAAAAAUUUAAAAUUAAACUAAAUGGUUAAUUAUCAUUCAUAUGUAUAAUUUUAUAAACAUUUCUUUAAAAAUCAUUGAUAAUCGAAAGUUUGGAGGAGAACCGGAAGCAACAACAUACUAAUGAUUAAUACACCACAUCUCAAUUCAAAAUCAUAUCGGUGACCACUCUUAUCUACGGAAAGACUUUGUCAUCAUGAAUUCUAUUACUACUACACUUAGUUCUCAUUAUCAAAUGAGACCUUAAUGUUGAUUAACGAUCUCAAAGAAAUUUUUUGUUUGUAGGAAAAGGUCAAGAUCAUGGAAGAAACAAAGAUAAAACAAAUUAUAGAAAAAAGAGUUCUAAAUCCAAGAACUGAAAAACAACAAAAUGCUUUAGUUGCAAAAAGACCGGGUAAUUGAAGACGGAUUGUCCAAACAAACAACAUGGUUCAUCUAGUUUUGUAUUGGAUACAAAAAAUGGGAGAAUGACUAUUGUGCUUAUGCUAGAAGUUGUAAUGACGUUGUUUUUUUUUUUUGGUUAAUGUGUCUCGGAGAUAGGUUGAUUGUCGUUAAUCAUUUCAAGACGUAUAUGAACCAAAAAUUGUGUCGAAAAAAUUGUUUGGCAAGAAUAUCUUAGGUGUAAGGAGUUUUUUGGGAUGGACACUUGCAAGAGAUAAGAGUGGCAGACAAAUGUUUCAUUUAACAAAGUUAUAUUGAAAAUGUGUUGAUUAGACAAAUUUAACAUGAACAAUACUAAAGAUGUAAGUACUCUACCUAUCGACGAAUUAUUUUAAUAAGCUCUCAUAGAUCAAUGUUCAAUGACAAAUACAAUAAUUGAAUAUAGUUCAAAGCUAAAGCUAAGUAUAUAUAUGGACUUAAACACUAUACAUAUGGUCUUGUAAUCUGUGUCAUAAAUUUCAUAAUUAAUCAUUUUGUCUUGUCCUAAUACCGGUACUUGGAAGGUUGUGGAUCAUCAAUUUCAUAAUUAAUCACUUCGUCUUGUGCCAAGACUCGUGUUUCGAGGUUGUGGACCGCCAAUAUACAAUCAAGGGCACAACACCCUCCAGAAGGGACAAAACGGCCUUAGAUGCGCCCUCUUAAGAACGCCACUUCAAAGGACUUCUAGAAACAUUUAGAACGCUCAAAUCUGACUUAUGGCCCAAAUUGCUUGAGGCAUAAAUCACAAAAAUACAAGACAUAACUUCAACUGACUAAACCUUAAUUUUUAAUAUUGUACUCGGUGCAACUACAUAACCAUAGAAGACUAAUUCCUCAUCUCAAACAAUCAUUUGGGAGAGAAUAGUUUCCAAUCCACCUCGAAAUGUGUUCCAAAUGUAGUGAUACGAUAGGAAUAGGAUCUAAUCUUAUUCACGUAGAAACUAAACUACCCUCUCAUUUUGGACUAUUAUACAUAAAGUUGGGACCACUUGACAAUGGACACUCUUAUCUCUAUUCAUAUCUGCCUGAUUGCUGCACCUUUCGCCGGUGACGGAAAUAACCAAUAGUUUGCAAUGAAUUUAUCUGCCAGUCACCUUCUGACAACUGUCAUGUGAAUGUGGACCUAACUACUUUUGUCUUUAUUAUUCAUUAUCAUCUUAUAAUAAAGUGGUAAAAUAACAUUCACGUCAAAAAAUAAAAAACAUUCAUGGCAAAAGCAAACAAAGUUUGAGUAAAAAGGAUUGAUAGAUAGAUUGCAUAAAACAUGCAUUCGGUUCAUGCACCAGCAUUCAACCGUUAUCGAUCUUUACAAUCCAAAUCCUUACCUCUAUCUCAUGUGGUCCCUUCUUGUUCUCAACCGUUGAUCUUAAAUGCUUUCACCUUUGACCUUGCUAAUCAACGGUUUCACAAGAAACCCUUGCUAUUAGGAAUAACCCCACACAUCAUGGGCGGUCUCCAAAUGCUGAUAAUAAUAAAAACACAUCUCCAUCGUAAUUAUACUUCAUUGUAUAGAUAUUUUUACAUUUUCAUACAUUACAUUACAUAUAUUUUGUGCAAAAGACUAAUUCCUUAAGUUAGUGCCCCAAAUAGCAAAUUAUUUCCACUUGAGUUGCAACAUUGAUGUAUUUUUUAUAGUUAAAUUCAAAUUCGAGACUACUUAUAAUACUUAAAAGUAAAAUAGACAUAUAUAUCAAAUAUCGGUGGCAACUAUGAGUUAUAAAAAUGUGAAUGUUGAACAAUAUUAUAUAAAUGAGAUAACUCAUACCAUAUGUCUAAAUGUCUUAAGGUAUUAGGUGAAUAUGUCUGAUUUCUUUUAGUCUAAUAUAAAUGAUUUCUCCCUCCAUCAAAAAAAAAUAUCUAGCAGUGGUAUUAGAGUAUGGCUACUAAAGGGACUGACUUCUUGUCUGUCGAAGGUCUAAUUGACGGCGUAUGAUGUUCGGUUGAAUUCCUUUUUUAUUUUUAUUUUUUGAAAUAAUGUUCCGUUGAUAUGAUAAGUGUUUAUAGCGGUGCAAGUGUAUGUGGAUGAAAAAGCUUCUGUUUGAGGGGAAAGAUACUUAAAAGAAUAGAUAAAUUCACACUUGAGUGAGAGAUAUUUGGCGACAAAUGUGAGUUAAAAGUCUCACAUUUGAUGAAAAAGUGAAUGUUGAGCAGCAUAUAAUUUAGAUGACUCGUAUGUGUGCCAAAAAGGUUUUUGUUGAAGAUGUAAUUUCAAAUUCUCUUUACAUAUAAUUCCUGUUAGGCCUAUGUGAUGCUAUGUCAGACUAUCCCAGGGGCGGUUCUAAGGCCCGGCGACCCCGGGCACUCGCCCGGGCUCCGGGCCAAAUUUUUUGCAAUUUCUUGUGUAAAUCCCUAUGAAUUUCUUAUACAAACCCCUAUAAAUUGGGCAAUUUCUUUACAUUUUUUAUUAUUUGCUUGCAAUUUCUUAUAUACGCCCUAUAAAUGUGUUGCAAAAUUUUUUUUGCCCGGACUUUACAAUAUUCCUGGCUCCGACGCUGGACUUUCCUGAUGACCAAACAAUAUCAUACUAGCUAUUCACCGUUCAUGAAUUAUAUACUCUAUUUGUUUUACAUAAAAAUUCUAAAACGAGUAUCACUUUCAAUUUUCAAUGUGAUACUCCCAUUUUUCCAUAAUAAUUAUCAUUUUUACAAAAAAAGAAUGCCCCAAAAUAAUUGUUAUUUUUCAAUUUUCAUUGUAACAUUAAUUAUUUCUUUUUUUAAUAUAGGGUUAAAUAUGUUUUUGGUCUCUAUAAAUAUACCAACUUUUCGUUUUAGUCCCCCUAAAAUGUUUCUUCAACUUUUAGUCCCUGAAAAAUUUCUCAUCUUCCCUUUUGGUAUCUAUUUUAAAGUAAACUCAUGUAGAAUACAUAUUUUUGAAUAAAAUUUUGCAGAAAAAUUCAUAAUAUUAUAAUAAUCUCUCCAAAAAAAAAAAUAAGAAUUUUUUAACAAAUCAUGAAUUUAAUAUGAAUUUUUAUAUGUUUGACGGUUAAAAAUUCAUAAUUAAUUUAUGUUUUGUUAAAAAAAAUCUAAUUAUUUGGGGGAAUAUUUUUUACAAUAUUCUACACAUUUAUGCACAAUUUCAUUAAAAAAUACAAAAAUUAACUUAAAAAUAGGGACCAAAAGUAGUGAUUGAAAAUUUUAUAAGGACUGAAAGUUGAAGGAAAAUUUUAGAGGCACUAAAAAGAAAAGUUGGUAUAUUUAUAGGGACCAAAAAUAUAUUUAACCCUUAAAUAUAUCAUCUACUAAUAUCAUGUGCAUCAAUCUCAAGCUAUUAUUUUUCAACUAUUCUCAUUGUUAAUAAUAAGAAUCAACUAACAGUAAUAAAGUUAAUUUGGUAUAUUGUUAUUCUCUUUUCUUAAUUUAUAAUUUCUUAGUUUGUGUUUACUAAAAAAAAUAUUAGUUUGUUUUUUUUUUAAAAAAAAACUCAAUAUUUGAUCCGAGAACGGACUAAUUUGAGGGGACUCAUCUCACCGUCCACUUGCAGGGGACCAUUUAAAGAGCAAAGCUUUGGAUAGACUUGUCCACUAAAAUUGGCUUGAAGGAAUCGAUUCUGAGACUUUGAGAGAAACAUACUCCAAGAUCAUAAGUCAACCCUAAAUGGUUUCUUAGUUUGUGUUAAAUGGCGACGAUUUUUUUUUUGAGAGAGACAUAUUAACAAUUUUCUUUUUGUUGAGCCCUUUAAUUAACAAUGUGUAUAUCGCUUUCAACUUUCAAGUCAAUAUUGUUCACAGUACAUUGAAGUAAAAGUGAAUACACCGAAUAAUUGAUCUGGUGAAUCACUCCAAAGUUGCUAUAAAAAGGGCUUCCAUUACCCUGCUAGAAAUGCUGCAGUAGGUGUUGGUACAUUACAGGGAUAAUAUAAACCUGAAGUACUUUCUGCACUCUGCAAUAUCUCAACACUAUUUUAUUCUACUGCAAAUUCUACUUUCACACCUCCCACCUCUUCCCAUACUCUGCCACUUUCACUUUUACACCUCCCCAUUACUCCUGCAGCCUCUAUUUUUCUGCACUUUCUUUCUUCCUUCCAUUACUCCUUGUCUUCUCUCUCAAAACAUUCAUGGAUGAAGACAUACUGAAAAAUUUGGGAAAUGUUGAAAGCAACAUGGACAUGAUGACAAUGAUGAUGCAAAUGGAAAAAUUCUCUGAUUCAUAUGAACCUUUUUAUAGCAACACUCUCAAUCUCAAUCUCACCAACAAUGAUUUCCCUUAUGGAAACUCAAAUGUAACUUCAUCACUCACACCUUCAUUGAUCAAUCCACCAUUGUCUUAUCCUCUUCAACAACCAAUGACACCACCGUUGCUUCAACCCAACAGAGUUCAAACUCAAAUCCCAUCAGGGAGAAACAACAAUUCUUCACUCUCCUAUCCGGAGAAGAAGAAUUCAAUGUCAGCAAUGAGAGAAAUGAUAUUCCGUAUGGCGGUUAUGCAACCGAUUAACAUAGACCCAGAAACCAUAAAACCACCAAAGAGAAAGAAUGUGAAGAUUUCAAAGGAUCCACAAAGUGUAGCAGCAAGACAUAGAAGAGAAAGAAUUAGUGAAAGAAUAAGGAUAUUACAAAGAUUAGUACCUGGUGGAACAAAAAUGGACACUGCUUCUAUGUUAGAUGAAGCAAUACAUUAUGUGAAGUUUUUGAAGAAACAAGUUCAAACGUUGGAACAAGUUGGGGCAAAUAGACCUUUGAAUGUUGUUGGGUUUCCAGGAGUGGUUUCUAAUGCUAAUUUUAGUUAUUCUUCUUUGAUUAGAGGUUGUUCCCAACCUUGUCAAAUGGUGGGUCCCACUUCCAAACAAAUGCUUAGUUGACACUUGACAAGAGAUUGAGAGAAAUUUAAAGGAAAAUGUUACAUAGAUAUCCUUUAUUCCUAUACACACUUGUACAUCCCAUACAUUAGUGAGAGAGAAGAGGAGAUGAAAGAGAAAGUGUGCUUCUGUGAGGUCCAUGUGACCAUGUGUUAGAUUUUUGCGUGGGUGUUAAAGGGUGUAUUGUCACCUAUGGUUGUGUAUGUAUCAUUACUCAAAUUUAAAUUUGGUUCUUGAUAUUUUGAAUUAUUAAAAUCUUAUUCAUCAAAAAUAUCAACGAAAUAAAAUUAUUCUUUUUUUAAAUUUUUAUCAUUCAGAAUUGAGAACGUUUGAUUAUUGUUUACGAUAAUAACUUAAAAAAAAUACAAUAAUUUUUAUAAAUAAUGAAAUGAUUUUUUUUUUCUUAUAAAAUGAUGUUCUAUAAAAUAUAAAUAUUGACAAAUAGCUAUUUAUUACAUAAAAAAAGAUAGUUUAUUUAUAAAAUUAUGAAGGAAGAGUACCGGUACACCUCAUUUUAUGAGUGUACCGUAGAAGUUCCCUAUAUUGUUAUUGUUUGGAUUUUUUUUCAUUUUCCAAAAGAUUGAUUGAAUAAGAUAAUGGAUGAAUUUGUGUUCUUGUUCUCCCAUGUUUCUAGUUAUAUACCUUUAUUUUAGCUUAGGACAUAUAUCUAAUUAAUGUCAUAUAAGUGUUUGAAUAAUUAAUAAUAAUUUUUUUUAAUGAUAUAUUAUAAACUCGUACAGGUUCAAUGAUAUACUCCCUCCAUUUCUUUAUUUAAGCAUCAUUUUAUUAGAUGCAAAUGGUACGGAGGGGGUAUAAAACUUUGGCCGAUCUAGUAGACUUGUAGUACCUAUGUUGUUUUUUGUCUCCUAAAUGUCCAUCAGCCUUUGGUCAACAUGUGCACCCAAAAGAAAAGUCAAUAUUAUUUUGAGUAAAUUUUCUUCAUUAAUUAUUUGAAGUGGUAGACCUUAAUUUCCAUGUUUUAUAAAUUUGUUGGCUAAUUACAUAAAUAACCAUACGUAUUUUGAUCGACUUGUGCAUAUAUAUAUAUAUAUAUAUGGUUUGCUAGGAUGCACCGCUAGUUUUUAUUAAAGUGUAUUUUAGCAAAAAUAUAACUAAAAAGUGGUUAAAUACACCUUAAGGUGAAUGUUGUUAAAACACACCUUUUAAAAAAUAAGUGGGUGUAUGUUAGCAACUCCUAUAGACAUUUGCUAGGAUAUACCCACUUAUUUUUUAGAAGGUGUGUUUUAGCAAGUUAUAAUUAAAAAAUAGUUAAAUACACUUUACGGUAUGGCUUGCUAAAACACUCUCACAUAAAAAAUAGUAGGUGUGUUCUAGCAAAUCUAUAUAUAUAUAUAUAUAUAUAUAUAUAUAUAUAUGUUAAUUCGCACUUUUAUCGUGAUUUUUUUAUAAAAUAACAUAAAUUAAAAUGGUAUAUAAAGGAUGAUAUUAAGAUCGUUUAUACAUGUGUCAAAUUAUAUUAUAGUAUAACUAGAAGACAAGCCAAGGGAUCACUAAUUCUAAAAAAUACCAAAACCUCUCUACCCUCAAUGCAACCAAACAAAGACAAGUCAAUCUUUGUCCAAAUUUAGGAAACGGAUAUCCUUCCAAAUGGAAGUUUUUGGCACUGAAAUCUCAUCCACUCGUUAGUUUAUAUCUUAUGCGGUCACAAUCGUUUAAAAAGAAUUGUUAUGUAAAUUAAGUAAAUUUGGGUUUUGGACAAUUCAGAUUUUAGUUGGUUGAUGAAUGGAUAUUUAAUAUGUUACGGAUUUGAACCUGUUACUUUUCAUAUUUCAGUUCUUAGUGUAUGAGUUUUGUUUUUAGGCUCUUUUGAAUCAAAAAUAUCAUUGAAAUUGAAUGGUGAGGAUUUUUAUUAGAAUGUUCAGGUGCAAUUCUCUUGAGAGAAUCUCAUCUUUAAAUUUAUGAUUUUUGUAUUGUGAUUUGCCCUAUGUAAUGACAUUUAUAUGUGGAAAAAAAAAAUUGAACAAAUAUACGUGGAAAACUUACAUUGAAGGCGACGAUUUUCAUUGGAAUAUCCCGGUGAAAUUCUCUCGAGAAUCUCAUCCCCAAAUUUAUGAUUUUUGUAUUGUGAUCUACUCUAUGUAACGACAUUUAUAAGUGGAAAACUUACAUUGGAUGGCGAGGAUUUUCAUUGAAAUGUCUCGGUUAAAUUCUCUUGAGAGAAUCUCAUCCCCAAAUUUAUGAUUUUUGUAUUGUGAUUUACUCUAUGUAAUGAGUGGAAAACUUACAUUGAAUUGUGAGGAUUUUCAUUGGAAUAUCGCGGCGAAAUUCUCUCAAGAGAAUCUCAUCUCAAAUUUAUGAUUUUUGUAUUGUGAUUUACUCCAAGUAAUGACAUGUAUAUGUGGAAAACUUACAUUCAUAACACAAUUUUGAAUUUUAUUAUAAUAAAAGGAAGGCAAACACAUUUCUGUUUAUUUUGUUAUCUACUUUUCAUCAUCACUAUAAAAUAAAAUACAGUGCAAAAAUAUGUAAAUUUUAAUACGUAAAUAUUUUUAUUUAUUUAAUGCAUCUUAAAAACAAAUAUUCAAAAUGAAUCGCGUAUAUAAAACAUUGCAUUUAUGUAACCAAAACAAAAAACAUUGCAUUUGCACGAGUGGUACUGAACUGGUCACACUUUGAAUACAUCCCCUUUUAAUCAUAACAAUUUUGUGCCACAAAGUAACAUGACCAUAUAUAGCAGCGAAUGUUGUCUAUAUAUCUUUUGACGCAUAGUGAAUUGAGGAUAAGUCAUAUUUGGAUAGAAAAUUGUGAUUUUAAAGUGAGUUUACCAGAGAAAAUUAAGAUGAGUGAUCAUGUGCAUUUUAUACGUAAUUGCUAUAGCAAAAACAGUGUAUAUUUUCUCCACAUUUAUAAUUACAGGAAGAAAAAAGUACGGGUAUAUGAACCAUUCUAAAUACUUGGUACGUACUAGUGUAUAAUGUUCUUUCAUUAACUAAACAAUUGAGUUUAAGUGGUUAAGGAACUCUUCCUAACGAAAAAUUGUUCAGAAGAAAUUGAUCUCAAUCUCUAAUGAAAUAAUUCAUCAUCUAGUUAACUUACAUCUCGACGGAACUCUAGAUUAUCAUAACUUUUUGACUUACAUCCAGAUGGAACUCUAGAUUACCAAAAUAACUAGAGGGUUGCAAAAAACUAUAUAUAAUGCUCCUCCACUCAAAAUUUGAGCAUGAGGUUACGAAAACGAGUGGACAAAUCUUGGGGAGAGCUUUUCAUAUGAUCGAUGAUUGACAACAUGCAAAUUUCAAAUUUGUUGGCCAUGUUGUGCCAGUAGCACAGUGUGAGGCACAAAUUUAGACGGAAGGUUGAGGUAUAAUAGUGCAAGUCAGACAUAUACCAAUUGGAUUAUAAGAAACCGGCAACUAGUAGAUUACGAUGCAUCAUUUCCCUCUCAAUGGAAUCCUGUAGGCAUUAGAAUGUGAAUUCGAGAUGACGAAGGUCGAUUUUUUUGUUAGAAGCAUUGUGGAUCACACCAUUGUGUUCAGUGGAAGUUGGGGAAGUUUUAGGUCUUUUACAUACUAUUAAUUGGAUUCAAGAUUUUUAAUUUGAUAAUGUGGACUUCGAGUUUGAUUUAAAGGAGGUUGUUGAUUGCUUUAACAUAGGAAGCAAUGAUGUAACGGAAUUUGGUGUGGUUGUAUAUGAAUGUAAACAUUGUGACUAUUUAUUUUUUGAAGACUCUUAUGUUGAGUUUAAUUAGAAACAAACAAAUGAGGCCGUUCAUUUUUAGCAAAGGUAAUCACAUCUUUAACUAGCUCCAAUAUUUUCAUUCAUGUGCCAUCAUGUAUUAUUUGAAAAUGAGUAAAAUGCUAUAAGUAUAUUUUCCUAAAAAAAAAUUAAUUUUUGACAUAUUUAAAUGUAUUUUUAUGUAAAUGGUCACGUAAAGUCAAGAUUUUUAAAGAAGGAUUUUAAAAGAUGAGUUUUUAAAUAGAACUUAGUUCAUAUACUUAUUACCUCGUAAGGCUAUUCAAAGAUAUAUUUGAUUAAGGAAUGUUAGUAACACUCUCUUUUGAGCACUCUCUCUAUCACUCACUCCUUUAUUGGGUAAAAUCAAUAUAUGUCCCACCACUUUAUGGGUUCCAGUUCCAAAGUGUUGAUCUUACAUUGAUUUCACCCACUAAAAGAGUGAGUGCUAGAUAGAGUGCUUAAAAGAGAGUGUUGCUAGCACUCCUCAUAUUUGAUUACUUAUUUAAAAACUUUAACAUGGAAUAAAGUUUUAAGCAUGUAACAAAUCAUAUUAAUGUUUCAGAUAGCUGUUCCGGACCCAUCUGGUGGAUACACAGUUCGAGGUGCAUAUAGUUUGUUAAUCUCGCAGGUACCUCAGGUCGUAGACUAUGCUCUGGAUUUGGUGUGGCACAAACAGGUUUCCUUGAAGGUUUCCGUUUUCGCAUGGAGGCUCAUUCGUGAUUGUUUACCGACAAGGACAAAUUUGAUUUCUAGACGGGUGUUGUCGCCUGACAUGUCCUCGUAUGUUGCUGGUUGUGGUCAUCCCGAAUCGGCACAACAUCUUUUUUUAUUGUGUGAUACUUUUGAUUCUCUAUGGCAUUUGGUGCGAGAUUGUAUUGGUUGCUAUGGGGUGGACGCCGAUAAUAUUUUCGAUCAUUUUUUACAGUUCACUCAUUUGACAGGUGGUGGUGCUGCUAAACGUUCUUUUAUGCAACUAAUAUGGCUUCUAUGUGUCUGGGUUGUUUGGAAUGAACGAAAUAACCGUCUGUUUAAUCAUGUUGUUACCCCCAUCCCUUGUUUACUUUAUAAGGUUAAGUUGUUGUCUUUAGGUUGGUUGAAAGCUAAAAAAGCUACUUUUGUUUUUGGAACUCAGCAGUGGUGGUCAAACCCUCUUGUUUGUUUGGGUAUUGGCUAAUGUUUUUCAGUUGUGUCUUGUUUGUGUAAUCGUUGUAACUCUUGGUUUCUGAGGUAGUCUCUAAGGCACACCUUGUACGUUUGGGACUGCCCUAUUUCGUAUAUAAUUCCAUUUUGGCUUGUUCAAAAAAAAAAACAAAUCAUAUUAAACUUUUGAAAUAUCAAACGUAUAUCUAAUAAUAAGUUUAUGACAUAUAUUAAGUUAGACUUUAACUGAAAUUUCUUUACGAAAUCGGACUUAGUUCUUGCAAAGUUUAAGUUUUUCCGAUCUAUUUCUACUUAGAUAUUAGUGUUGAUGUUCAAAAUAUAUGCUAUAAUGUUAAUUCAUAAAAAAACUAUAUGUUACAAACUAUUAAUGUUUCACAUCUAUCUUGCAGUCACCCACUCCCAUACUUUUCAAGCUGGUCUUUUGGAAGAAAAUAAAUGCGUCGGUGGCUGAGGGUAGAAAAAGUAGGUUGCCUCCCGUGGCAAGGUCGAAUAAUUUUGUUGUUCAUGUCUCAAGGAUCAUACCUUAGAAAUGUUCCAUUUUUUUCUUACACUAUGUGAUCAAUAUAUCUAAGACUAUUUUUUUCAUACUUUAAUGCUAGUAUAUUAUUUGCUUCAAAACAAAAUCUAGUAUAUUAAUAUUAAAAGAAAAGGCAAGGUGAGAUGAAUAUGGAGGAAGAGGGUUCUAGCGAAUUUGGCCCAUGUGAAAAAGGGUCCCAAUAUACCCAAUAAGAUUAGAUUUUUAAUUAUUAUAUUUUUGGGAGGAAAAAAAAGUAAACAACCAAGAGGACUCUGCACUUUGCAUAUGCGUUAAUACGCUAUCUCUUCACUUUGCAAUCUUUUUUUCUAUAUUUGGUACAUUGCAUUGUAUCCUCCUCUCUGACACAUUGAUCCUCCUAUAUCAUAUUCUUAUUUUUCCACUUCAUUGCCAUUUAUAUUUGACAAGGUUGAUCUCUUUGAACUCAGUUGCAAGUUUGACAUUAUUAUAGCGAGUAUGUUAGAAAUAUAAUCAUAUACCGUAAAUUUACUGAAAUUACAAAGUGUCACUUUAAUAUUUAACACGGUUGAUUAUCGUAAUUCUGAUAUAUACAUCCUAAUACUUAACAUAGACUUAGUAUAAAUAUAUAAACUUAAAAUUAAUUUUUUAUUAACGAAUUGUGCAGCAAAAAUAGAAGUAUAACUCAUUUUGUUGGAAUCAAAAGUUUAAACUUAAAAGAAAAAAAAACAUAAAAAUAAAUAAAUCUUAGACGUGUUAUAUGUAGCGAGGAAUGGAUUCGUGAAUAUUAUCAUGAACGCAUAAAUGUCAAUAUUCAUCCAGAACUCUCUCCUUCCACACUAUAUAGUUUUCACAUCUCAGAAUUUCACCCUUAAAAUAAUAAUAAUAAAAUCAUACUCCCAUCCGGUCACAUUUAUAAACAAAAUACUACUUUUUAAGUUCAUUGGUUAUUUAAUGUAUUUGGUCUAUAAUGUAUAUACCAAAUACAUUAAGUAUUCAAUAAACCUAAAAAUUGUUUUUUUUGCUUAUAAAUGUGACCGGAGGGAGUAUGUUGUAUAGCUGGAAAAAUUUGACACACAUGCUUAUAAUUAAAAAUUGAGACUACUAGAUUAAUAGAAUGUUCAAAUGUAAAUCAUUUUUAGACUCUGGUGACGUAAAGUAACUUAAUGACAAAAUUAUCAAAUUAUGCUCUUUUUACUAAUUUCAAUGGCUAAAUUUGAAAACAUAAAGUGAACUACCUAACAUAAGGUGUGUCAAAGAGUUUAGUAACAAUUAAAAGUACAACAACAGAACUUAAAUUCUGAAAAAUAGGGCUACGUGGUGUUACCCAUACACAACAACGAAAUUCUAGGAAAAACAGUGAAGCAAACUUAUGGAAUGAAGCAUAUACCUCCAAAUGUUGCUCUUGCUGGAAGAUGUUAAAGCUCUUCUAAAUCUUCCACAAUGUAAGUUUUUGAAAGAGACUUUAGGUUUAGGAAAUCAAUUAAACAAAUGAAUUGCACUUUUUUUUUGUUUAUAACCGAAAUGACAGUAGUUAUUAAAAAUUUACGAAAUGAGUUGCAAGUCUAUAUGUAGCUUAAUUAUGUCCAUAACAUAAUUAUUUGGACAUGUAGACACCAUCUACUCCUCAACUCACUUAUUAUAAGCUCUGAUUAAAUUGGAGAGAAAAAAUAAAAUAUAAAAUGCUAUUCUCUGAUUAAUGGAUAAAUAAAUAUCAUAAUAUGCAUUUAGCGGGUAAUUAACACUUUUUAUUCAUAAAUAAAAAAUAAAAACGUGGGAAAAAUAUAACAUUUUACUUCUGAAAUAUACUUCCAAAUUAUUGUUAGGGGUGAUAAAAGAAGGUUUCGUCCUCUUCCUAUAUAUACAAUUGAAUAUAGCCUUUAAAAAUAAAAACAAGACAUUUUCACCCUCUAAAUUUUUGUUGUUUCAUUUUUAGUCUUUAAUGGUUAUAAUUUUAACAUAUAAUAUGAACAUACAUGGGUUUGAUAUACUAGAUGAACAUAAUUUAGACACAUCUUAAUCAUAAAAGAAUCAUAACUUUGACAUAUAUAUGAACUUAAACUAGUCAUAAGGGACCAAGAAGAACAAAAAAAAAAAAAAAAUUGAAAACAUCGCUUUUUUACCGUUAGAGACUAAAAUCAAAAUUCACAAUAUUUAUAAAAUUUAUUUAAUCCUAUAUAGUUUACUUGCAUACAAGCCUACAAUUUGGCCAAAUGACAAUUUCAUAAAAAUUGUUGUAUACACAUCUAAUAGGACUGAAAAAUUUAUGUAAAAUACGAAAAUGCCCUUCGAUAGUUAACUGCAGCCGGUUCCAUCGGCAGUUAACUGUCGAGGAAAGAAAUUAUGCAGACAGUGAGUUUUGCAUAAUUAAGCCAAGCCAUUUUUUACCUAUAAUUCAGCCAGAGCAUUUCCAAAGGCAAUACUAGUCGUACAACAUUUAUCCUCAGUCAUAAACAAGAAAAAUACAUUAUCUUUUACCGUUAUCCAUAAUUAAAUCAAUCCGACAUUUCAUUAAAAUUGCAAGAAUGUUUGAAAUUCAUCAUAACAUUAAAGAGUGUCCAUAAUUAAACAACACAUUACAUAUCAUUAAAUUAAAUCUCUACUGACAUUCUACGCAGUUGCAGAUGGAACAAAAAUACAUAUAUAAUAUAUUAUCUUCCAUCAUAUUCCGAACAUAAAUUCGACGUCGCCAUCGUCGUGAAGAAAUAGUGAGUAGGGGGAGCAUGUGGUUGUUUCAUCUAAAGAAACAGCGCCUCGACACUUAAUUGCCGAGGAAUUCAAAAAAUCGGCUGCAGUUAACUGCCGAAGUUUCCAUCGGCAGUUUAUUGCCGAAAAAUACUGAAAACGGCCGCAGCGAACUAUCCAAGGGUAUUUUCGUCUUUUAUAGGUAUUUUUCAGCCUUAUAACAUGUGUAUACAGCAAUUUUCCAAUUUCAUUGUAAAAGGCCCACUAUCUUCGUAGGGAAGUACAAUUCAAAAUGGGGAAAAUUGCUAUUCUAACUUCAAAAAUUACUAUUUGACAUCUUGAAAAUAUCAAAAUACACCCAAUGACAGUUGUUGCUCGAUUUUUUUUUUUUUUGGUACAAAGUUGUCGCUCGAUUUUAAUAAGGUUUAAUUGUCGCUCACUAAAUGAACCAAAGACAGUUAAUUACCGCUCUUUUAAUGGCUAACGACACUUAAGACUUAAGUGCCGUUGAUACUUGCCAAUUUUUUUCAGUUUGUUCUGAUCUUCUUUCACUUGAAAGCAAGAAUAGCAUGCACUCACACUCUCACUUGCUCACAUUGCGUCACGUCUUAAUUUACUCACACUUCUUUAAGUAGGAAAAACAUGAACAAAUAUUUAUACGUUGAAAAAGGAGAAAGAACUACUUUCCAUUAGGGAAAGGUAGAUAAAAGCUCUUCAAGUUCAAGGCAAACUACCACAGAUUCACUUAUCCAUGGUACUUGCUUUGCGAUUUCAGUAUACCUCUUGAAUUUUCAGAUUUUAAAGGCCUAACUGGUUUAAUUCGUUCAUCAUACAAUUAAUUUACUCACCAAUUGAAAAAAAAAACUAAUUAAUGGUUAAAGGCCUUCCAUCACUUUAAGAACUCCAACAUGAUACUAAAUUCCAACAAAAAAAAACCACCAUGAACAUAAACAUUGAGCAAAACUUCUAAUCAUAGAAUCCAACCCUGUCCUGUUAAUAAUAAGAAUAGACAAUAAACAAAGAUAGACAUGGCUUGAUCACUUGACCCAACAUAACGAGAAAAGGAUCUAUGCUUUGCUACCUACAAAUAAUAAAUCCAAAACUAAAAAUUUGGCAGGUAACAACGGCACUUAAGUGUUGUUGACUAAAUAAAAAAUUUCUAACAAAAGUUAGCGAGCAACAAUUAAUUACCGUUGGAAACAAAGGGCGAUUAAUUACUGCUGCAGGUAUUUUGCUAUUUUCGGAGUGUUAAAUAUAACAAUUUUUGAAGUUAAAAGAGCAAAAUCCCAAAACGGGUUUACAUGUCUUGAACUUUGAAUUCUGCUCAUUAUCCAAACAGUAUCGCUCAUUUUCAAUGUAAAUGUCCAAAAUGUCCCUGCGCAUGUGAUAAGUGCUCAAAAGUAACAUAUUUCAUGUGUUAACCUAGGCAAUUUAGUGACUUGUUUUGCAAGUUAUCUAAGGAAAAUCUACCAUUUGAGUGUAUUUUUUACCAUUUAUGCUUUACAUGUCUGAUUCUACCCAAUUUAUACAGAAAAUGACAAGCAAGGACCAAAAGAAGGAAGCUCUUGAACCAAGGUCACUUCGCUUAAGCGAACAAGUUCCAGAGAGCACCAGAAUGCUUCACUUACUAGCACGCUUCCAGUUCCCUCAUGAAGAAAGGCUAGUUCGACCUCAGGUUCGCUUAAGCGAACAAGUUCGAGAGAGCUCCAGUAAAGUUCGCUCACAAGUUCGCUUACAGUUCGCUUGAGCGAGGUUCAUUAAACUUCAGAAGAUAAGGACCACGUGGCAACUCCUCAAUGGACAAUGGAAGAUUCCCUGGAUGUUUGCUUAAGCGAACGAUUGCUUCGCUUAAGCGAACGAGCACGAAUAUGACCCAUAUAAAUAGUUUUCUCUUCUCUUUCCAUUAUUAUUCUUUUAUUGUCUUUUACAUUUUUCUAGUUUUUAGAGAGAGACUAGGGCUUUUCUAGAGAGAGAAACACAAAGAAAUGUAGUUAUGAGUAGAUUCAAGCCAAGAUUUGUUGUGACAACAUGGAUCUUGUCAAGGAAUCUUCAUAUUUUCUUCAUCCUUUGCAAAGCUAUCAUAGACAUAUGUAGCUAUAUCUACUCUUGUGGUUUUGAGGUAUUCAAACAAGCUAUUAUGUAAUAUUUUGAUCAUUUAAUAUAUAUUUCUAGCUAUUUAUUCAAUAUUGUUGUUAUUCUUGUCUUUAUUGUUUUAUUGAGACUCAAAAUGAUAUGGACAUGUACUUUUGAAUCUAGAAAUAGAAUAACAAUCUAUCUUAAGUUAUCACUCUAGACAUGGAUGUUAAUAUUUGAUAAUCACUUUUAAUCUAGAACUUAAUGCUUUUUGGUAAUUUAAUCGGUUGGGGAAAUCGUCGAUUAAACUAUCCAAUCGACUUUGUGAUCGUUUAAAUGUUUGGGAAAUCGAUGUUUAAAUGAUCUCUUAGAAAUAACGAUAUCAUUUGGACACGAAUGAUAUUGUCGAGUGAUUGUGAUAAUAUCGUUUAAAAAGCUAGAAUCCGUUAAUCAAUCAAGAGAUUGCAGCUGUUACGCAUGGUUGAUGUCUCUGACAGCAAGCGAAAUGACCCUAUCUCUUCUCGUUUUACUUUUAUGUCGAAUAGGAAAAUAGUUUUACAUAAACAAACAAUUUAUACCCAAACACUUAAUGUGACAAAUAUUGUGAAAAUGCUUAUGCAAUACGCAACUCCCUACGAAAAUGAUCCUAUUAUACUCACGUGUAAAUAGUUUUAUGACAUGUAAAAAUCUUACAUCAGCAUGUUAACAUGCGCUAGUGUAUUUUUUUUACCUAAGUUAAGUCACGUAGGGUGACUUAACUUGCACUAGUGUAUUCUGAGCGUGAGUUAACUUGCGCUAGUGUAUUCUGAGCGUGAGUUAACUCACGCCAGUUGGCCGGUGCAGAACUGAAAAACAAACGUUUUUUUAUCUGUGGUCAGUUUUUCAACAUUUAAUCCACACAUUUUAACACUAUUUUACACGUUUUUUUAUCACAUUAAUGAUGUUUACAACCUAUACUGUCAUUCCCACCUAUAAAUACCCCUCCAUACUUCCCUAAUUCCUCACACCAUAUCACUUUCUCCCCCUCCUCACUCUCUCCUUCUAUUUCUCUUCUUUCUUUCUUUUUCAAUAUACUCUUUGGGGAAAAAAGUGAUCAAUCUUCGUCGGGGUAAAAUAGUGAGAAGCCGACAUGGAGAAGUGAUCGACCCUUGGGAUAAGUUUAAAUUUGCUUUUUUUUACUCCAUAAAUUUUUUACCGUGGAUAAAAAGAUUCUUCUCGGGGUAUAAAAAAAAUCAAAUUUAAAUUUAGCCCAAGGGUUGAUGAUGUAUUUUCCCCAUGAAGGCUGCUCACUAUUUUACUCCAUGAAGAUUGAUCACUUUUUACCCCAAAGGGAGAAUAUAAGUAUAAUAUAUUAGUGAAUUCGAAUAAAUUAUUGUAUCAAUAAUUGUAUUGUAUGAAUUCUAUUAAUAAAAUGAGAUAUUGUUAUAUGAAUCAAUUUUGUUCAUUCCUUUUUAUUUUAUAUUUGCUUUUAUUUUCUAAUUUCGUAUUUAAUGAAUAAAUAUUAAUUUAGUUCAUUUACUUUUAUUUAUAUUUGUAUUUAUUUAAUGAAUAAUAUCGAAUCAAUAUUUAUUUUAAGUGCAUAAAUAAUUUAGGAUAAAGUAAAUAAACUAAUUUAGAAUAAGGUAAAUAAACUAAUUUAGAAAAAAGUUAAUAAAUAAAAUUAGAAUAAAGAUAAUAAAAUAAUUUAGAAUAAAGUUAAUAAAAUAAUUUAGAAUAAAGGACUAAAUGUACCAAAAAAUAAGAAUAAAGGCCUAAUUGAAAAUUAUUUAGUGCAUAGGUUUCAUAUGCACUAUAUUCAGUCAAAAAAUAGUAAAAAAACAAUAUCAAAAGAUACAAUCGAAAGACAUAGUUUUUUUUUUUUUUUUUCCUUCUUAUAAGCAGCAUUAUAUUUUAGCUCUAAAUUUGUAUCUUAUGUGUUCAAUUAUACUCCCUCCGGUCUCAAAUGUAAAAAACUUUUCAUUUUGUAGGUUCAUUCAAUAAAUGAUGUAUGUAGUUUAUAAUAUGGAUUAAAUGAAUCUAAAAUGUGAAAAGUUGUUUACAUAUGAGACCAGAGGAAGUAUCGAUUAAUUCUUUAAGCCGAAUAGAGUUGCAAUUGGUAAAAAAUCUCUUUAUAUUUAACAUUAUUGCUUUCUCAAAGUUCCUUUUUUUUAACAAGCAUUCUCAAAGUUUGAUUAACUCAGUUUUAUUUCAUAGACAAAUAUUAGCACUAUGAUGUUAGUGUUCGGGAAUCAACAAAACCUCCUCUUUCAAACUCCUUUAGUGUCCCUUAGUUCACUAAUCAAACUACCAACGAGGGAUCAAACUCGGUGUUAUUUGAACAUCAGAAAAUAAAUAGACAAUAUUCAAUGCAAAUUUUGAGAGAGGGAAAAUAAAUAAAUAAAAAGUUGAUACAUUUAUAAGAAUAAAAAACAUCUUUAAUCUUUUAAUCAAUUUUUAUUUAUAUUAGUUUUGUUGGUUUCCAAUAGUUUGAAUUUUUUUACUUAGAUUUUAACUUGUUUUCUAGAAUGCACAGUGAGUCGUGAGUUUAUUUUGAGUUUUGAAAUACCGGAUAUUUUUAUUUUUGGAAAAGCCACAUUACUUACUCUUAAUUUUUUUUUUUUUUUAAAAUCUCCGUGAAUUUAACUCAAUUGUUAGGGACAAUGUAUAAUAUAUGUAAGGUUCAGAAUUCAAACCUCAGACACCCAAAAAAAAAAGAGUGAUGGUAAAGACUUUUAAAAUUAGGAGAUUUUUUUAUAUAACUUUUAAAUGAAAGUUGUAAAAUGAGUAUUUUGAUAAAUUUUAAGGUGGGCAUGAUUAAACUAACAUUUUCAUUGUAAAAAAAAAAUUAUACUAUUAUUUUUUCAAUCAUAUGUGUUCUCGCACGCCUAUUUUUUUCAAAGAUACUAUUUACAUAAUUUGAACUCAUAUAUAAGGAUUUUCGAAUUAUACAAUCUAUAACAUAUUGAAACCCAUAAAUGAUGGUGAACUAUUUGUGUGACAUUGUGGUGGGAAUAUCAUAUAUGACAUUGUCCAACAAUGAUGUGACAUGUGGUUUUCUCAUUUUAAAAUAAAAUUAAAAAACCUUGUAAAAGAGAGAGAAGAAAUUAUGUGUCACAUUGUGGUUGGAUAAUGUCAUACUCAUGUGACAUUCCCAUCAUAGUUUUAAAACUCGGCUCGGUCAUCGACUCGGCAGGGGCACUGGGUUAUUGGGUUAAUGGUCGAACCACUGAGUCAAUGGUCGAACCGUAUGACUGAACCGGAUCAAACCGAAUAACUCGGUUAGAUGACUCGGCCUUAAGAUUAAAUUUUUAUAUGUAUUGAACCAGAUUAAAUCGGAUUGAAUGAAUGACUCAGACACUUAAAAACUAAAUAAAUGACAUCUAAUAUGUAUAUUAAUAUAUGUUAAAGCUAUAUUUUUUUUAAAAGUAUAUAUUUUGUUAGCAGAAAAUAUAUUUUAUUUUGCAUAUCCAUUAAUAUUAAUAUAAUUUGUAGAUUUUCUAAAAAAAAUUAUAUGUAUAUUAUUUUAUUUUUUCUAGUGGAGAGAUGAUAAUAUAAAUAUUAUUAUUAUUAUUGUGUAAAUUUUAUAUUUAAAAAAUGAUGUGCUCGUUUUGAAAGUAAAAAAAAAAAACUAUGUGUUCUUUGCUUAGAAAAAAUGAAGAAGCAAUAUGUUUACAUAUAUAAUCAAUUUCAUUAAAUAUCACAAAAAAGUAGUUGCAAGUUCGAUUCCCAUAACUUCUAUAGUUUUUUUCAAAUAUUCUGAUUUUUUUCUUCAAAUAUUAAAAGUCAAAGCACGCAUUUACUAUAGCUAAUUGGCGUUAAUUGGUAUUAAUUAGCAUUAAACGUGCUUAAAUGAAUUAAUUAUGAGGUUUAACGUAAAAGCCUAAAAAAAAAAAUAAGAGGAACCGGUCCGACCAACUACUCGGCCGAGUCACCGGUUUUGACCGGUUCUCGCCGAGCUAAUUACAUGGCCGAUCCAAAGGCCAGCUCGAACCGGCCUACCCACCGGUUCACGGUUCGACCGGUCCAACCGGCCGGUUCGAGCCGAGUUUCAAAACUAUGAUUCCCACCACAAAAAAUGCAAAACAAGUUUGAUGACACUAUUGGUAUCAUAACCCAAAACUAAAAGAAAUAAAAUUUUCAAAGUAAUGAAAUAUGAAGAAUAAAUGAAAAUGUUGAAGAUGCAAAACUAUUAAAAUUAGAUUAGAUAUUUUAAGUUGUGCAUUCCAAUGAUUUCUUGUAAUUAUGGGUACUUAAGUCUUUUGAUGACACUUUUAGGGUCCCUUUUGCCUUUAAAUUGACUUGUAAUCUUUACAUUUAAAACCACCACUUGUUGAUUGUAAACACCUGGCAUAAUCUUGUUCUUUUCACUUUAAUAAAGUUUUAUUUCUUGUUCGCCUUUGAUUGUUCUCCUAUCUCUUGAUUAUGUUGAUGGGGGACCUUUGAUGAAGACCAUUGGAGAAGCAUAAAGUGUGGCCACCAAUCAUCAUUAACGAGGCAUUAAAAGAAAUAGCAACUCAACAAAGGUUUCAUCGGGUAGAUUUAUUUUUCAUGGUGUCAUGAAUUCGAAUCUCAGAUCUUACAUAUAUCAUGUAUUGUCCUUACUCAAGGUCGGCCUAAAGCAAGAGCAUCCAGGCCCAUAACUCAGGGCCUCCAAAUUUUGGAGGCCCAAAUAUUUUUUCUUUAUGCAUAUAUGGCCUUAAAAUGUUACAUAUAUUUAUUUAGCGCAUAAAAUUUUCAGAAUCGUUAAGAUGGUCUGGUGGUUGAAAGAUGUGUGCGUGGGCUUCUGAUUCUCGGUUUGACUCCUAGAAAUUACUUUUUUAUUAUUAUGUUUUAAUUUUUUUUUCAACAUAAAAAAACCAAGUGUUAAACCAGCAAUAAAACUGUUACCAAAAAAACCAGCAAUAAAACUUAACUGCAUAAGUGUGCCUGCCGCCUCUGUACCUUCACGUUCCAAAAAGCAAAUUUUUGAUCAAAAAUUCACGGAAGCAUAAUUUUAAUUUUUUGAUGUUAUUGAUUAAAACAUAACUCUGUUAUUUACAUGGAAUAGUCUUUUUGAUAUUAUAUUUUUGGUACAAUAGUCUUUUUGAUAUUAUUUAUAUUAUUUACAACUUUAUAAUGUUAUUUGCAAUUAAAAUAAAUGAUAAUGUUUUUGAAUUUUUGGUGCGUUUUUUUUAUUGAAGGGGCCAAUUUUUAAGAUUGCAUCGAGGCCUCCGGAUUGUUUAAGACGGCCCUGUCCUUACUAACCAAGUUAAGUUUACAGGAACUUUCAUCGAGUAGAUGAUAUGACACCCUAAAAUUCAAACACGGUAAAAUAAUAUUUAUACUAGUUAUGAAUAAAAUAUGCAGCGAUUUCAAAUAGAAUAUUUCUAAAUAACUUUCUCAUUGGCUUAUAAUGCCACAUUCAACACAUUACAACUCUAACUCACUUGAAAAUAUAUUGGACUUAGAAACAAACAAAUCAAUUUCAGACUUAGAAACAAAUUGCUUUUAUUCUCAAAGUUAAAACUACAAAAGUAGUUUUCAAAACUCAUGAAAAUACAUUGAAUAACUUUCCAUCCGGGGUAUCACUUAUCAGUGUAUGAGUCUGCGAAUGUUAGGCUUUCAAAAGCGUCAAACACAAACAAGGAAUAAUGAGUAAUCAAAUCAUGUUAAAGUAAAGUAUAUAUAAAACAAACAUACCACGUAUUCACAUAGACAUGACAUGAUGCAUCAUAAAAAUACAUUUAAAAGAUAUGUUCGUCAAUAAAAAGAGUCACAUAUUCACAUAUAAACCAUUCACAUUGCACAUACAAUAUCUCAUACUCACAAUUUCACAUAAUUACAACAUAUGAUUUGCAUUACACAUAUUAUAACACAUGAUCACAAUUUAACAUAUAUUCAUAAAAUUAUCUUACUUAAAAUAUCAUGAAAACUUAAAAUAAACCACAAUUUACUUCGACACACAUUCAAUUAAGUCAUAGUUACUACACAUUUAAUUUUGACUAAAAUGACGCCACCCGUGAUUUUUCUCCUCAUGUAUAGAACUAAACCAAGAUGGAAACACUUCUAAAACAACAAGAAGCUUUUUUAUAUUUUGUAUAAAAAGAAGAAGAAGAGAGGCUUGUUUUUUUUAGGGGAAAAAGAGGCUUGUUUAUAUUUAUAUUUAACGUGUGAUAAUGUUUGAAAACUCGUUGCAAGAGGAAAUAUUAAAAUAUAUUUCCCGCGUGGAACACGAGGGGCAAAGAGUAACACGUACACUGUAACUCAACUAUUCUUGAUUUUUUUUUCAACUGUUAUUGAUUUUAUUUCUAUAAAAUAAUUCAAAAUAAUUUUUUUUGUCAAAUUCAAAGUAAUAUUCUUUUCUGGUUGGUACAAAUUCAAAGUAAUAUUUUGUUUUUUGUCGAGUAGUCUAGUGACUAUAACUCACACGUUUUAAAUAUAAAAAAAAUGAGGUAUAUGAGGUUCGAACCUUAACCCUUACAUAUAUUAUACAAUGUCACUCACGGAGACCAAUUCAAAGUAAUAUUCUAACCAUGUUAAACAGUGGCGUGGGGAGAGGGGGUCCUUUGGAGGCCAUGUUCCCCUCUAUAUUUUUAUAUUUUUUUUACGUACUACAAUUAAAUUAAAUUAGAAUGUUUCAUAAUAUAUUAGGUUAUGGUUCCCCCAAUUAAUCUAAUUAAAAUGUUCACCAUGUCAUUAGAUUAAUUGACAACUAAUAUCAUUAGUUAUGUAUGUUAUAUCCUUUUAAAUUAUUUCAUAUGGCCAUUUUCACAAAAUAUUUUAAAUGGAAUGAAACACAAUGAUAUAGCUUUGCAAAAUAAAAGACUAUUUUAAAGGAAAAAAUGAGCAAAUUAAAGCCUAAAAUAAAAAUAGGGGAUUAAAAUAUAAUUUAGUCUUUAGUGAAUUUUAUUCUCCUGUGACAAAAAUUUCAUGUCUUUCACAUUCGUACAAAAGUUCUUCUAUUAAGUCAAUUGCCGUUCUCAUUUUGUAUUAACUCUUCGAUUCUCAAGAUAAAGUGGUUAUGGUGAUUCAUAGUUGGGCAGAGAGGUAACUAAAGUUUGAAAAAAAAACUGUUCUACUCAAAAAUCAAACUCAGGUUAUCCUGAAUAAUUUGUCAUUUACGAAACACACAUUUAACUAAAUAUUAUUUUUUCUAUUUUUAUACAAAGGUGUUUUUGUUUUCUCUUCCUACUUAAUGUUAUUUUUUUCUACUAUUAAGUCAAUACUUGUAUGAUAACUAUACUUAACCAUUAAUGUCUCUCAAACUGAAUAUAGUUAUAAAUUUCUUUAAAAAACAAGAAAAUAUUAGUUUAGGUCUUUAGGGUUUCUUAUAUAUCUUUUGCAUUUAAAAAAUAUUUUUUAAUCAAAUUAUGUUCCUUGUUCGCUAAAAAAAAUUGUUCCCGGCUCUGUCCCUGGCGUUAAAUAACCACAUCAUUCUUUUAUAGGGAUGGCAAUUUGACUCAGAUCCGAUGGGCACCCGCAAAAAAUACCCACAAUGGGUAGGGUAAAACCCCGCUUUCAUGGGUAUGGGCACGGGUAGGGUUAUUACCCGUAAAUUUUAAUGGGUAUGGACACGGGUAAGGGUACUAUACUACUCAGCCCCGCAACCCGCAUGUACAUAUUUAUAUAAUAUAAUAAAUACUUUAUUUAUUUUUGGUGUACAAUUAUUUAAUUUAUUUAGCUAUUUAAGUCUAAACCUAAACCUAAAAUCUAAGCAAUUUAAGUUUAAACCUAAAUACUACAAUUAUUUGAAUGUUUUUAUUUUAAUUUUUUAGGGAUAUUUUGAAUGUUUUUUUAUUUGGCUAAAUAUUACGAUUCGUACUAUUUUAUUAGAUGAUUUAAAUAAUUUUGGAUCAUAGUUUUAUUUCAAUUGUAAUGUUUUAUAUUGUCUUUUCAUAGAGAAAGUGCGGGUAAUGGGUGCGGGGGUAUGGGCACUUAAGUGCCCAUAGGGUAUGGGGAAGAGCACUAAAGUUGUUGCCCACUCGGGUACGGACUCGGGUGCGAACAUUUUUUACAAAUGAGGGUAUGGGGAUGGGUACUAUAGUACCCUAUCCAUUGGGUAUCCAUUGCCAUCCUUAUAAUCUUUUACUUGAUUUAUUUAUAUAAUUUUUUCGGGAGUAUUAAUUAAUUAUUUCAUCUCUACUAAUUAAUUGCUUAGUUUUGAUAUAUAAUUUUACUUGGAGAAAAUGGAACAUCCAUAAUCAAUGUAAAUCAAUUGGAUGAGAUGAUAAAAAAUAAAAAUAAAAACACUUUCAACUUAAUCAGAGUAUCCAAAUUCAAAUACACUUCUUAGAAUACAAUAAUGUUACUUGACUAUAAGGAUUAAUCAUUGCAGUUGCAUACAAAAGAUAUCAAAUUCACACAAAAAAAAUGCUUCUUUUAUUUAGGUUCGGUCCCAGUUGUUGUAAUCUCUUUUUCUAUUAAUAAAAUUUAUGACUUUUAUCAACAAAAAAAAUAUAUAUAAAUGUAUAAUAUAACAUAUUUUUAAGAUAUUUUUCAUCUCAGACAAUUAAAACGAGAGUCACAUACCAUCCCUUACUCAAAAGACUUGUUUAGCUUGUUGUUGUUCAUACUUGAAACGAUUUUGUGUUGACAACCAGUCCAUUCAUCGCACCGUAGAUAUUUAAUUUGUAAUAUUUUUUAGGUUUGAAGUUGGAUCCAGUUAUGUUGUUUUAAAUUUUUGUAUUACACAUUUGGUUUGUCUUACACUUAUAUAUGGAUUUACUAGGCUAGGUUUUACCACCUCCUCCCCCAACCCACCCACACACAUGAGCAAUGGACAAAGAAUUAGAGUCUGGACCAACCUAGUUGAGACAUUUUAUAUUUUCUUUAAUUUCAUUAUGCUCGUAAUUUAGUGAGAAAGAAAAUCGAUGUGAUCAUUUAGUUAACUAACUUAAUUUUUAGAUUUUCAGAUCAAGUUGCUCAUUUGAUUCAUAAAUCAAAUUCAACAAGUUAAUUUUUUAGUCGAGUUCUGAACUAUGUUCGAGUUAACUCGGUUGAUCCUGGGGCCUAAUUUUGACAAUCAUGUUUUCAGUAUUUUUUUUAUAUGCAUUGCAAAAAAACACCAAUAUAAUUAUUGAUAAUUUCGCACGUUUUAGACAAAUUUAUCACUAUCAACAACUUUUUUUAAUACCAUAAAUUGUUUUAUAGGUUCCUAUAAUAAAAUACGGGUCCAGUAUAUUUUUGGAUGCAAGAUUGAGUAUGUAUUAGUUUAUUGGCUAGAUUCACACACAUUAUAAAUAGAGAAGUAAAUGAUAUAUGAGAUUUGAACCUCAACCUCUACCUAUAAUGUUUUUGAUAGCUACCAACCCAGCUACAGUUAAAAGACGAGUAUGUAUUUUUUCAUGGUGCAUAAAGAAUUUUUCGGUAAUGAAGGGGACGUUUUUAAUUCAAAUGGUAAGGGCAAUUUUAAUCAGCCAAUAAUUGGAAGAUUUAAUGUGGCAGCUGGCAAAAUACUCCAUCCGGUUUCAAAUGUAAGCAAUUUUUCAAUUUUUAGGUUCAUUCACUAAAUGAUGUAUGUGGUCUAUAAUAUGGACCACAUACAUAAUUUAUUGAAUGAAUAUAAAAAGUAAAAGUUGUUUACAUUUGAGACCGGAGGGAAUACAUAACUAAUGAUAUUUUAAUUAGAUUAAUUGGGGGAACCCUAAUUCAAGGACAUCUUUGUUGGGCCAUGAUGAGUGACGACUCACGAUGGCUCUGUUCGAUAAAAAUAGCGGAUAGCUUAUAAGCUAACUGAUAGCUUAUAGCUGAUAGUUGAUGACUGAUAGCUUAUAGUUGAUAAGCUAGUUGAAGUGUUUGAUAAAAUUAGCGGUUCAACUUACUUAUAAAUGUAGAAUGACAUAAAAGGACAUUCUUAUUUCAUAUUAAAAUUUAUAUUCAUUAAUAUUUAAGUAUUUAUAAUUUAUUAAUUUAAUAUAUUUUUUAUGAAUUAUCUUUAGAAAAAUAUAAAGAGUAUCUACUGAGAAAACAAAAUAUUAAGAGUAAAAGAUUUGGACGUAAAAAAAAAAAGUAUGGAAAUAAAAUAUAACGAGUUUAGUGAAUUUAAGUGUAGUAAAAGUAUUAAAAAAAUGUGAUUAUUGUAACUAGUGUUUUAAAUUAUUUAGACAAAAAAAAUAUAGACGUGAAAUGAUAUAUGAAAAACAAUUUAAGGCCAACACCUUUAAUAAAAAUAAUGUAAGCCUAACCAAAAGAAUUUAAACGUCACUAAUUUUUUGUUGCCCUUUUUAUGAAAAAUUAUAACGCAAUUCAUGAAUUUUUUUAUUUAAACGGAAGGCAAUGAUCAUUUUUGUUUAUGAAAUAUAUAUAUAUAUAUUAUGAUGUAGGUAUUUUGCAGUUGCAUAAAAACAUAAUUAUAUCUAUUAUUACAACAAAGGAAGGUAAUGGAUAUUUAUAAGGUAAUUAUAUCAAUUAGUUAAAUUAUAAUAAAUUAUAAAGGAUAAAAAUGGAUUUUAGAUAAAAUAUUAAGGUUAAAAAUAGAAGAAAUUUUGAGAAGUUAUAAGCUAUAAGCUUAAAUGCUACUUGAAAUAACUUAUGAAAAAUAGUUUAUAAACCCGUGAAAUAAACUAUAAGCUCAUGAUGAAAAAGCGUCAUCAAACAGAGUUUUUUUGUCGAACGAAUUUAUAAACUAUAAGCUAUAAAUUUAUUGAGGUGUCUUACCAAAGAGACCCAUAAGUACUACAACGUUGAUUUUUUUUUCUUCCCAAUUUGGAAAAGCACAAUUUAAUGAUGGACCCACAUGUGUCACGAGCUUUGAUCCCUUUUGUUCACACUUCACAGUUGACACCAUGGUGAAUGAGAAGCAAGUGGGCAAUAGUAACAAGCAGAGUUCUUACAUCAUGCAUGGGGAUAGUAAAUUAAAAAGGUUCAUUAAUUCAGUUUAUCUUGAUUCUCGUUCAUAUUUUAGAGAAUUAAGGAGAAAAGAUCUUCUCCAUUUAUUUGAAACAAAUGGAUAAUGUUGUUUGGUGAGAGAUAAACAUAUAAAAAUAUAUAAUGGGUAUGUAAUUUUUGUGUGAUACAAUUUAUAUGUUUUCAAACUCUAACCGUCACUCUUUUCUUCUUCUUCUUCUUUUUAGAGGGGUGAUUUAUGGUCAAUUUUGACCCAAAAAUCACCCCUCUGAAUUAUUUUUCCUUCUAUUCUAAUUGAAUAAGUGAUUUUACAUAUUUUCUAUUUUCUUUCGUUUGUUUUUGUGAUUUCGUCGUCUCUAGACGACUCUGUUUGUUUUGAUUUACCGUUUUUGUGCGGUGUGUUUUUGAUUUCCCGUCUUAGUGCGAUGUUUAUUUGAUUCAGGUUGAAAGAUUAGCUUUGAGCAAGUGCAGAUCCGAUCAAUGACAAUGACUUUGGCGUCAUCAUUGUUGCAGAUCCGGAGAAAUGAGUAUUCCGAAGACAUGAAUAUAAUCAUAUUAGUCAUAUUUGUAGGCAUAUGUAUUUUGCUGUUUUAUGCUAUUAACAUGGAUGAUGUGAGUUUGUUCACAGAUUCAUCCUUUUUGUUUUUAGCGAAUUUGAAUUUGUAUUGUAUCGAUAUACUCUAUCAAUUUGAAUGAAUGAAUAUCGUUUACUUUUAUCAAAAAAUAAAUAAAUAAUAUACAAUGGGUCUUACCAUUUAGUGUAUCAUGAUGUUGUUAAUUAUUUAUAUAUUUUUUCAAACUUUAUUAUGUUUUUAUCUCUUCAAAUGAAAGAAAUAAAAAGGACAUCAAACGGAGAUGAUCCUAACUAAGAAUCAAGUGGACAAUAGUGACAAGGCGAGCUCUUACAUCAUUCACAAGGCCUCGAUAAAUUCAUUAGUAAAAUAUAAAGUCUUUAUAUAGGUCCACUAACAUGUAAUUUAAUACUAUGUGCAUUUAGAAAAUAAAUACAAAGAAAUUGAAAAAAAGCAAGAAUCAAAUGAAUUUGAUAUGUCUGAGACCAACUUUUUUCUAAUUUUUUUCUAUUUUAAUCGUGAGACACGUUAGUUGCUGAAAAGAAUCCUUAUAUAAUUGACGAUAGCUAAUAGAUAUUCAUUUUUUCUUUGUUCAAUGGAAGUCGUUUAUAGAUUGAUGUCGUUGUUAAAUAAAUAACUCUUCAUUGAAAAUGCUCUUAGAAGCUUGGUUAGGUAUCGAUACUUCGUAGGAAAAAUCCACUAAAAAUUUUAUUUAAUUUUUAAAUAAUUAAUUUAAAAAUAUGACAUGACAUUGCAUAAUUAAAUGACGAGAACAUACUCAACUAAACUUUAACGAUAUGAGUGUUUCAUUGUGGUUGGACAAUGUCAAACAUUCACACCAUAAUGUCACACAAGUGGGAUUUGAGUGUGUAUUCACCUGCUAAUAAAAGAAGAAAUGGAGCUCAACCAAACUAUUUUAGAGGUGAGUCUCGGUUCGAGGUCUCCAGGACCCAUAGCGUUACAAUCUGCAUGUAAUUUUUGUUCUUAACUACCUAAAAUAGAUUCAUCAUCAAUCAGAUGUUUUUUUCUUCGCUUUUUCUUCUUUACAUAUAAUAUAUGUAAGAUUCGGGGUUCAAAAUCCCGAAAAAAAAUAGUGAAAAACUAUGUGAAUGAAGAAGAGUUAUUCCUAAUCAACCAAUUUUGGCACAACGCCAUGAUGACUUAUCAACCAAUUUUGGCAGCAAUAUACUUGGUUGGUGGUGACGUUUCUUCAAAACCAAAUCUUAUAGUCACCCUCUCAUACUCUGACUGCAUCAAGAAAAGAACAUAAAUCAAGAGGACCAAUUUGAAAAUGUACUUGAUAUUUAUCAUUGCGGUAGUAUUUCACUAUGUGCAUUUAGAAAAUAAAUACAAAAAAUUGAAAAAAGCAAGAAUCAAAUGAAUUUGAUAUGUUGAGACCAACUUUUUUCUAAUUUUUUUCUAUUUUAAUCGUGAGACAUGUUAGUUGAUGAAAAGAAUCCUUAUAUAAUUGACGAUAGCUAAUAGAUAUUCAUUUUUCUUUGUUCAAUGGAAGUCGUUUAUAGAUUGAUAUUGUUGUUAAAUAAAUAACUCUUCAUUAAAGAUGCUCUUGUACUGAAUGAUAUGAUACAAUCAUGCAGCAAUGGUAGUUUCUAGCACAUGGUAGUUAGAAUAAGUACAACCCUAAAAAUAGAAGAAGGUGUGGCUGAAAUUUCUUACAACUGAGGACCGCAACGUGCAAUAAUAAAAUAUACUAAAAUUGUAACGUGCUUUGGCCUUCAUGAAAAGCGACAUGCAAUCAAUUAUUAUAGAAAAGAAAUUAUGCAAAUUAGAGAAAUGAUAUUAUACAACUUUUGGAUAACUCUUUUAUUCUUGUUGUGUUUAUAUUUUCUUUCUGUGUCGAUUUGAAUUUUGUGUUAAUAUCUUCUUUUCUUUUUUUUUAUCUUUUUUUGUGUGCAUUUUUUUAUUUCUUUAAUUAUUUUAUAAUUUGUUCCAAAAAAAAUAGUUGAAAUAAUAUACCUCCACAUACUACUAGCAUACUCAACUUUAAAAUAUCUUACCAACGUCUGGUAGGCUGCUACUGUUUUCUUAUUGCAUAUAUCAAAUUAUCAAUCAUCAAAGAUUGAUCUUGUCUAAUCUCUCCAAUAAUUUGAAUUAAAUAAACAAAAUGAUAGUUCAACAUCGACCACAACUCAUAAAGAAUCAUAACUAUAAUUGAUUGAUGAAAUAUAAUAUGGGAAAUGCUAACCGGUGCCUCCGGGGCACUAGUUAAAGAUAUGAAAAAGAAAAUUAUAUAAUAAUUAAUGCAUUGAAAUUGUGUAAUUAAUUUAUAAUAAAGUCAAAAACAAUUUUCUUUUAUGGUAAUAAUUCAUUUUUAUGGUAUGCUUAACCAGUGCCCUAGGGGCACCGGUUAGCAUGAACCAUAUAAUAUUUAUACAACUAUUUUAUCAUAACUUUGUUUCUCAUACUCACAUUAUAUUUUAACGUUUCUUUUUAUAUUGUUUUGAUUUUCGUUUUAAUAUAUAUUUUCCUUUGUAAAUCUAUACCGUUGUCUCGUCAUAUAAAUAAUUGUUUAAAUAACAGAACACUUUAUUAAGACUACAUGCGAUUCACGCUGUACCAAUCACAUGUGGAAAAAGUUGUAUUUUCUUCUUUUUCUAUUCUCUAAAAAGGAUUAAAAAAACCUUUCUUUAAGGAAGGACAAAACCCUUCUUGAUACCCACAAAUCUCUAAUAUUUUGUGGGGGUUUCCUGUAUUAAGUAUUAGAAACUAGCAUCGAUGGAUUCCUAAUUAAUUUAAAAUAGAAGAUUGCGUAUCCAUUGUCAAGUAAACAACUGUGACAAAUUAAAAUAACAUAUAGAGUGCGUUUGAUUUGUUAAAAAAUGAAGGACGGGAGAAUAACUUUAGUUGUCCAGUGUUUGAUUUGUAAAACUGCUUCAGGUACAGGACAAACUGGAGGCAUGGGACAGGACAAAAACUUAUUUUUUUGUCCCUCACCAAACCACAACACAACUUUUUGUCCCACGUACAAGUUGUCCAAAAUACCAAAAAUAGCAUUUUGUCCCUCAAAAAUCGUAUAAAACAAAAAAUUACUCAAUGCCAUAAAAAAUUUGUCUUGUGCUGUACUGCCUUGUGUUGUACUGUUCUAUCUUAUAUUGUUCUGUCCAGUACUUGCUGUUUUGUAAAUCAAACACACCCAUAAAGAUUGAGCCUAUAGGAAGAAAAUAAACUUUCACAAUAUCUUGCAUCAAAUUUCUAAGUCUUGAAAGAUUUAUUCACAUUAAAUAUUCUACCAAAGGAAUGAGUAAUUUAUUUGGUUGAACUGAGGAAUUAAAAAUGUUAAAAGCUUAGGUUCAAAGUCUAACAAAGAAGAAAAAUACUAAUAUAAACAAAUCUAACAUUUGUUUUUGAAAAAAAAAUCUAUCAUGUCUUGAAUUAAAUAAACUUAGGGAAAUAUUAAUCGGUGUCCUGGAGUGCCUAACCCCGACAUUGGGACACUGGUUAAGGAUACUAAAAAGGAAAUUAUAUAGUAAUUAAUGUAUUGAAAUUGUAUAAUUAAUUUAUAAAAUAUAAAAACAGUUUUUUUUUAUUUUUUUUUUUAUGAUAAUAAAUUUAUUUUUUGGUAUUCUUAACCGGUGUAUGACCCAUAGAGUUAAAGGAAUUACUUUAUGAGAAAAUGAAAAAAAUGUGACAAAAUAUACUCGUAUUAAUUAACUAGUUACAACAAAAAUAAACGUGUCUCUACAGCUAUAUAUAUACUUAACUAUAAUCAAGAGUCAAGACACUCUCAACCAUAGGCUAAAAGCAGUAUAUCAUUCUUUCUCUCCUCUUCAUUAAUUAUUGUGCUAUUAGCUACCUUUAGCCAUGGCAUCUACUUGCGAUAAGGGUUUUGCUGAUAGUUAUAUGAUUUUGAAUCCAGAAGAUGCUCAUUUCUUUGAUAUUAUUCGUAUUUUAUUUUCCCGGAACAUAGGGCAUAGAAAAUUUGUGGAUAGUAAUGCUGAAGGAGAUGUCGAGGGAAGCUUUAGAGGUAGAUGGCUUAUAUUUAUCUCUAUUGUUCUCCAGAAAGUCUUGUUGUUCAUUGCUAAACCACUUGCCAUGAUUGGUUAUUGGGUUGAGAUGUUGAUUAACCUCAUUGCUCUUAAUGGAGGCAUCACCAUGAUUAUAAUUAACUUUCUCUCAGGUUCGAUCUCUUAAUUUAGUUAAUUUAUAUAUAUAUAUAUAUAUAUAUAUAUAUAUAUAUAUAUAUAUAUAUAUAUAUAUAUAUAUAUAUAUAUAUAUAAUGGUAAAUCUGACUAGCUAGAUGAAUAUUUGAUUGCUUUUAUAAGCUAAGACAUAUUUCAACCGUAGUAAAUUAGAUCUCAAUGUUGUUGUGAGCUGAGUUCAGUUGGUAUAUGCAUGAUAUGAGAUUCAAACCCCGAUCACCACACAAAAAAUCAGAUCUCAAUCCCAAGCAGGCAAUUUGAGUCUUUUUGGUGUCUGGUUUGGCCUGUUUCCAUGCUUGUAUUGGUCUUUUUUCCUUAGUUCUUGAGUGGUUCUUCUUACCUCCUUGUACUGGUCAGAUCUUUUGGUGUUUCCUAUUGGUCUCCCUAUUCCCUAUCUUUUUACUAAUGAUAUUUCAAUAACCAUUUAAUAAUAAUUUUUGAGCCGAUAUUCUUUUUCCUUUUGAAGUUAAAAUGGUAUAGAUAGAAAGAAAGUUACUUUAAUUGUUUCUCCUUCAUUUUUUUUUUU
Molecule: long non-coding RNA, 42151 nt
Filed under: Medicago truncatula (barrel medic)
Lineage: Eukaryota; Viridiplantae; Streptophyta; Magnoliopsida; Fabales; Fabaceae
Description: long non-coding RNA (MTRU_LNC002827)
Rfam family: MIR2670 microRNA precursor family (bases 27194-27393)
Source: RNAcentral